RNAcentral lists this microRNA precursor (68 nucleotides) under Bombyx mori (domestic silkworm). Its description in RNAcentral is "mir-2774 microRNA precursor family". It matches the Rfam family "mir-2774 microRNA precursor family". Lineage: Eukaryota; Metazoa; Arthropoda; Insecta; Lepidoptera; Bombycidae. The record is from Rfam by way of RNAcentral.
ACAACAUUAGGAGUGACGCUAUACUGAGCAAUAUCACCCGCUCGGUGGAAGAUCUUUCCAUUCGUUGU